This 421-nucleotide ribosomal RNA is filed under the name uncultured bacterium. RNAcentral describes it as "partial 16S ribosomal RNA". It matches the Rfam family "Bacterial small subunit ribosomal RNA", at positions 361 to 774 of the family's 1533-position model. The record is from RNAcentral.
AUAUUGGACAAUGGGGGCAACCCUGAUCCAGCCAUGCCGCGUGUGUGAAGAAGGUCUUCGGAUUUUAAAGCACUUUAAGCAGGGAGGAAGGGCUUUAGGCUAAUACCCUGAAGUUUUGCCGUUACUAACAGAAUAAGCAUCGGCUAACACUGUGCCAGCACCCGCGUCAAUACAGAGGGUGCAAGCGUUAAUCGGAAUUACUGGGCGUAAAGCGCGCGUAGGUGGUUCAGUAAGAUGGGUGUGAAAUCCCCGGGCUUAACCUGGGAACUGCUUUCAUAACUGCUGAGCUAGAGUACGGUAGAGGGUAGUGGAAUUUCCUGUGUAGCGGUGAAAUGCGUAGAUAUAGGAAGGAACACCAGUGGCGAAGGCGACUACCUGGACUGAUACUGACACUGAGGUGCGAAAGCGUGGGGAGCAAACA